UACGUAGGGUGCGAGCGUUAAUCGGAAUUACUGGGCGUAAAGCGUGCGCAGGCGGCGGCUCAAGUCAGGUGUGAAAUCCCUCGGCUUAACCGGGGAACUGCGUCUGAUACUGGAUGGCUUGAGUUUGGGAGAGGGAUGCGGAAUUCCAGGUGUAGCGGUGAAAUGCGUAGAUAUCUGGAGGAACACCGGUGGCGAAGGCGGCAUCCUGGACCAACACUGACACUGAGGAGCGAAAGCCAGGGGAGCAAACGGG
RNAcentral lists this ribosomal RNA (253 nucleotides) under uncultured bacterium. RNAcentral's name for it is "partial 16S ribosomal RNA". It matches the Rfam family "Bacterial small subunit ribosomal RNA", at positions 524 to 776 of the family's 1533-position model. The record is from RNAcentral.